AUCCUCCUGGUGCCUUCCACAGGCUGUGGUCUUGCAGCGACUCUAUAGAAAGAGGAGGCAGAGUCAACCUCCUCGUACGUACCUCAUCCCAGGCCUUGUAGCUGGCCUGAACUGUGAAUGGGGGGACAUAG
RNAcentral lists this small nucleolar RNA (131 nucleotides) under Dasypus novemcinctus (nine-banded armadillo). RNAcentral's name for it is "Small nucleolar RNA SNORA51 (ENSDNOG00000026937.1)". It matches the Rfam family "Small nucleolar RNA SNORA51". Rfam says of the family: ACA51 is a member of the H/ACA class of snoRNA that guide the sites of modification of uridines to pseudouridines. Lineage: Eukaryota; Metazoa; Chordata; Mammalia; Cingulata; Dasypodidae. The record is from RNAcentral.